RNAcentral lists this unclassified non-coding RNA (771 nucleotides) under uncultured soil bacterium. RNAcentral describes it as "partial contains small subunit ribosomal RNA, 16S-23S ribosomal RNA intergenic spacer and large subunit ribosomal RNA". The stretch from base 1 to 139 matches the Rfam family "Bacterial small subunit ribosomal RNA", at positions 1398 to 1533 of the family's 1533-position model. The record is from RNAcentral.
CAAGUCACGAAAGUUGGUAACACCCGAAGCCGGUGGCCUAACCCCUUGUGGGAGGGAGCCGUCGAAGGUGGGACCGGCGAUUGGGACUAAGUCGUAACAAGGUAGCCGUACCGGAAGGUGCGGCUGGAUCACCUCCUUUCUAAGGAGCUGCUAGCAAUGCGCGUCCUGCCUGCAUGGGUGGGGUGUGGUUGUCAGUGUUGCCCACUGCGCAGGCGUAUGUUCUGCGGUGGGUGCUCAUGGGUGGAAUAUCAACGAAUCAAACUGGUUUUGGCAUGGCCUGGUGGUUGUGUCCUGUGGUUAGUACGGCGUCUGUCCUCUUUUUUGGGGGUGGGUGUUUGGAAGGCUUGCGGGGCGGAAGAUACUUCGGUUGUGUUUGGUGCACUGUUGGGUCCUGAGGCAACAGGACCUGCAACGAUGAGUUGCCGGGGCCCCUGGGGUUUCUGGUUUUCCUGUCCUUGCCGAGCGCAUGGUGUUUCCUCCUUUGGGGGGGUGCUGUGUGGGGUGUGGGGGUUGGGGUUGUUGUUUGAGAACUACAUAGGGACGCGAGCAUCUUGAGGCAUGCACCCGUUUGUGCGGGUGUGUGUUGAUAGCAAUUUCUUAUGAAAGGACCCUGGCCCUUUGUGGUCGUGGUUCUCUCGAGUCAAGUUUGAUCUGUGUGGUCAAGUUUUUAAGGGCGCACGGUGGAUGCCUUGGCAUCAGGAGCCGAUGAAGGACGUAGGAAUCUGCGAUAAGCCUGGGGGAGUUGAUAACCGAGCGGUGAUCCCAGGAUGU